Molecule: long non-coding RNA, 323 nt
Filed under: Gossypium barbadense (sea-island cotton)
Lineage: Eukaryota; Viridiplantae; Streptophyta; Magnoliopsida; Malvales; Malvaceae
Description: long non-coding RNA (GBAR_LNC022540)
Source: RNAcentral
GUGAAACCACUGGCGUGCGUCCCACAAAUACCCUCAUGGACUUCUUCCAAAAUUUUCUUGGCUUCUACAGCAUCCACACAUCUUAACAGUACUUGAUCCUUCCUUCUUUUAUAUAACACUUCUCCAUCUAAGACAUAUUCAAUGGCUAUCUUUCUCAGAGUUCUUUUGUCAUUCUCUGUCGCUUGAUCAGGGUAUUCCCGAUUUUUCACAUAUUGUAAGAUACUCCGAUACCAAGGACAAUCAUCUUUUCCCUCCUCCUCAAUAUUGCAGCAAUUAGCCGGGGUCUCAGAGAUACUCAUCUGAACAGGCCUCAUUGCCUCAAG